AGUGAACGCUGGCGGUAGGCCUGACACAUGCAAGUCGAACGGCAGCACAGUAAGAGCUUGCUCUUACGGGUGGCGAGUGGCGGACGGGUGGGGAAUACAUCGGAAUCUACUUUUUCGUGGGGGAUAACGUAGGGAAACUUACGCUAAUACCGCAUACGACCUACGGGUGAAAGCAGGGGAUCUUCGGACCUUGCGCGAUUGAAUGAGCCGAUGUCGGAUUAGCUAGUUGGCGGGGUAAAGGCCCACCAAGGCGACGAUCCGUAGCUGGUCUGAGAGGAUGAUCAGCCACACUGGAACUGAGACACGGUCCAGACUCCUACGGGAGGCAGCAGUGGGGAAUAUUGGACAAUGGGCGCAAGCCUGAUCCAGCCAUACCGCGUGGGUGAAGAAGGCCUUCGGGUUGUAAAGCCCUUUUGUUGGGAAAGAAAAGCAGCAGGUUAAUACCCCGCUGUUCUGACGGUACCCAAAGAAUAAGCACCGGCUAACUUCGUG
RNAcentral lists this ribosomal RNA (492 nucleotides) under uncultured bacterium. Its description in RNAcentral is "partial 16S ribosomal RNA". It matches the Rfam family "Bacterial small subunit ribosomal RNA", at positions 29 to 507 of the family's 1533-position model. The record is from RNAcentral.